RNAcentral lists this unclassified non-coding RNA (342 nucleotides) under Hevea brasiliensis (rubber tree). Lineage: Eukaryota; Viridiplantae; Streptophyta; Magnoliopsida; Malpighiales; Euphorbiaceae. The record is from RNAcentral.
GUUCAUGAUUAUAUGUGCACACAGCCAGUUUUCUUAAUUGCUCCCGUGUCAACACCACAACUAUAUGUCCCAAGUCAAAUGCUUUGAACAAUUACGUGUUAUGCUAAAUCUACAUGAAGGUUCCCAUCCCAAUUAUCAAUCUGUGCUCAUUACCUACUGUCUGUCUCUCUUCUUUAUUGAAGUUUGUUUGGUUACUGCUAGUAGAAUUGUAAGUUGAGACACUUUAUUCAUCUUCUAGGAGCUUUACCAGCAGUUUCAAACUGGAGCUUUUUUUCCCCUGAGAUUUUCUGUUCCUCCUUUUUUCUUCUUUAACAAAUUAACUUUCAUCCUCAUCAAAGGAAC